AUUGAACGCUGGCGGAAUGCUUUACACAUGCAAGUCGAACGGCAGCACGGACGUCGGUCUGGUGGCGAGUGGCGAACGGGUGAGUAACAUAUCGGAACGUAUCCAAUAAUGGGGGAUAACGAGUCGAAAGAUUCGCUAAAACCGCAUACGCCCUACGGGGGAAAGCUGGGGGCCUUCGGGCCUGGCGUUAAUGGAGCGGCCGAUAUCUGAUUAGCUAGUUGGUGAGGUAAAGGCUCACCAAGGCGACGAUCAGUAGCUGGUCUGAGAGGACGACCAGCCACACUGGAACUGAGACACGGUCCAGACUCCUACGGGAGGCAGCAGUGGGGAAUUUUGGACAAUGGGCGCAAGCCUGAUCCAGCCAUUCCGCGUGAGUGAAGAAGGCCUUCGGGUUGUAAAGCUCUUUCGCAAGGGAAGAAAACUUAGCCACUAACAUUGGUUGAGGUUGACGGUACCUUGAUAAGAAGCACCGGCUAACUACGUGCCAGCCGCCGCAGUAA
Molecule: ribosomal RNA, 500 nt
Filed under: uncultured bacterium
Lineage: Bacteria
Description: partial 16S ribosomal RNA
Rfam family: Bacterial small subunit ribosomal RNA
Source: RNAcentral